RNAcentral lists this ribosomal RNA (760 nucleotides) under uncultured bacterium. RNAcentral's name for it is "bacterial SSU rRNA". It matches the Rfam family "Bacterial small subunit ribosomal RNA", at positions 86 to 865 of the family's 1533-position model. The record is from RNAcentral.
CAAUACACAGUGGCGCACGGGUGAGUAAUGUAUCGCUAAUGUACCCCGAACUCUGGGAUAGCCAGCCGAAAGGUUGGGUAAUACCAGAUGAGACCACGAUCUGGCAUCAGAUUGUGCUCAAAGGUUCGCCGGUUUGGGAUCAGGCGAUAUGGUAUCAGGUAGUUGGUGAGGUAACGGCUCACCAAGCCUUCGACGCCUAGCCGGACUGAGAGGUCGGACGGCCACAUCGGGACUGAGACACUGCCCGGACUCCUACGGGGGCUGCAGUAAUGAAUCCUCCGCAAUGCACGAAAGUGUGACGGAGCGACGCCGAGUGAAGGAUGAAGUUCUUCGGAAUGUAAACUUCUAAAAUCUGUUAGAAAGUUCUGAUCAGCAGACUAUAAGUGGCGACUAACUCUGUGCCAGCAGUCGCGGUAAUACAGAGGCCACGAGCGUUAGGCGGAAUCACUGGGCUUAAAGCGUGUGUAGGUGGAUCGGUAAGUACCUUGUAAAAUCCCACAGCUCAACUGUGGAACUGCUUGGUAUACUGCCAGUCUUGAGGCACUCAGGGGCGAGCGGAACAAGUGGUGGAGCGGUGAAAUGCGUAGAUAUCACUUGGAACGCCAAUGGUGAAGACAGCUCGCUGGGGGUGUACUGACACUGAGACACGAAAGCCAGGGGAGCGAACGGGAUUAGAUACCCCGGUAGUCCUGGCCCUAAACAAUGUCCACUAGAGUGUGGCACCUCUGACGGUGUCAUGCUCGAAACGAAAGCGUUAAGU